Mauremys reevesii (Reeves's turtle) is the source of this 1489-nucleotide RNA transcript. RefSeq lists it as uncharacterized. NCBI's taxonomy places the organism in Eukaryota, Metazoa, Chordata, Testudines, Geoemydidae. The transcript has 3 exons. The record is from RefSeq and is a predicted model, not a curated record.
GGCCUGCGGGGGGGCUCAGGUUAUUUUGGCCCUGCCCAGCCAUCGGGGGAAAAGCAGCAAGCGGAAAGGGGCUGGCUGGGGGAUGCCAGCCGAGGCCCCGGGGGGAUAGCUGGGGGUUCCUGCUCUGAGGCCACUGCAGCCCCUAUCUCUGCUGGACCUUGUGCUGGGGGCCCCACCAAGCUGCUGCCAGGACGCUGCUGUCCUUUGCCCUGGGUGCACCUGAUCUCCGUGACCCGCAUUCCUGUUACUCUCCGGCCAGCCUGGCGCUUGCAGCAAAGCCGGCUCCAUGUUCCAAGGCUGAUUCCUUUGCACCAGUCAGAAUUUUCCACCCCUGCCCCCAGGCUAUUUCAAGGAUGAGCCGGAUCAAAGUCAGCUGAGGAAUUUAAGAAGGGCGGCGGAUGAGAGAGCAUGACGGAGGCUGGAAUUUGAACCCCACUGAAAUGUAGGCGCCUGAUCGCAUUCAGAUCCUUUGAAUGGCCCAGCGCUAGUGGCAAAGCAAGCAAUGGGGCACUAGGGCUCCUGGGUUCUCCUGCUGGCUUUGCCACCGAGCGCCACCUCCCCUCGCUGGGUCUUGGGCUGUGAUCAGACGGGCUGGGUGAUGCUCGCAAAGCCCCUUUGAGAUCCAGCGGCCCAUGAAGCUGGUUAUUACCGGGGCAAAAAAUAGAAAAUCCGAAAAGCUUCAAAAUCCUCUCUGGCUUGGGAUGGGUUUUUUCUUUUCAAAAAAGGCGCAGUUUAGUGUGUGUGGGAAAGACGCCAGCCAGGUCUGGAGUGAAACGGAGUCUGAUUCCCCCUCACGAGCAGCGCGAGUUUGUCAGGCCAUUUUGAAGAAUCGUCUCUGUGGGGCCGACGAUCCUGGGCGCACUGACGGGCUUUGGAAAGCCGCAGGGUUCUGCAAGACAAGGGGCAGUUUGGGGGCCAGCGCCGCAAAAAAUUCUGCGUUGAGAAACAUCCCGAAAGGGAAACAGACGGGAAUUUUCAGGCAAAAUUUGGAACCAGCAUUUGGCCGAGACCUGCCUCUGAUGCUGACCAAUAGGAUCUCACUGUUUCCUUUACUCCCCUGUCUGAUUGGCUCCAUCUGUAGUUAAAUUGGAAGUGCUCUGGGGCAGGGACUGACUCUUUGUUCUGUGUUUCUGCAGCAGCUGACACAAUGAUUAGGGCUUCCGGCUGCUGCUGUGCAACAAAUAAUAAAUAGUGAUCAUCCUAAUUAAUAACUGUCCAGUUUGUUGUUGUUUAAUCCCACAACCCCCCCAACUGUGCUGCCAUUUCCUGGGGUCAGCUGGGGCUGCCGAUGCGCCUUGCUGUGCCUGGACGGUUCUAGCCCUGGCACAGAGUAACCCAACUUUUCUAGACUUUUGAAGUGUUGUAAAUAAGAGGCAACUUCGUCCAGCAGACCUGGCCCUGGGUGGUUGUUAUUUAUAUAACGCCCUGACAGCUUGGGAACCAGGAGUUCCGAGCUGGCCGCAGCAAUGAGUCACUCAUGCCUGACGAG